RNAcentral lists this small RNA (130 nucleotides) under Segatella hominis. RNAcentral describes it as "RT-3 RNA". It matches the Rfam family "RT-3 RNA". Lineage: Bacteria; Pseudomonadati; Bacteroidota; Bacteroidia; Bacteroidales; Prevotellaceae. The record is from RNAcentral.
AAUCGGUUCUACGGCAUAGCCGACGUGUCGGCAAGGCAGUGACCGAGGGAGAUGAGCCGCGCUCACAGAGCGAAAAAUCAAGGAGUGGGUAGAGUUUGGUAGGUCCUUCAAGGAUUCGAAGAAGUCGGAC